This 815-nucleotide ribosomal RNA is filed under the name Diaporthe sojae. RNAcentral's name for it is "LSU rRNA". It matches the Rfam family "Eukaryotic large subunit ribosomal RNA", at positions 76 to 922 of the family's 3401-position model. Lineage: Eukaryota; Fungi; Ascomycota; Sordariomycetes; Diaporthales; Diaporthaceae. The record is from RNAcentral.
UGCCCUAGUAACGGCGAGUGAAGCGGCAACAGCUCAAAUUUGAAAUCUGGCCUCGGCCCGAGUUGUAAUUUGCAGAGGAUGCUUCUGGCGCGGUGCCUUCCGAGUUCCCUGGAACGGGACGCCACAGAGGGUGAGAGCCCCGUAUGGUCGGACACCAAGCCUGUGUGAAGCUCCUUCGACGAGUCGAGUAGUUUGGGAAUGCUGCUCUAAAUGGGAGGUAAAUCUCUUCUAAAGCUAAAUACCGGCCAGAGACCGAUAGCGCACAAGUAGAGUGAUCGAAAGAUGAAAAGCACCUUGAAAAGGGGGUUAAAUAGUACGUGAAAUUGUUGAAAGGGAAGCACUUAUGACCAGACUUGGGCCGGGCGGCUCAUCAGGGGUUCUCCCCUGUGCACUCCGCCCGGCACAGGCCAGCAUCGGUUUUCGCGGGGGGAUAAGACCGACGGGAACGUAGCACCCUCCGGGGUGUGUUAUAGCCCGGCGGACGAUACCCUCGCGGGGACCGAGGACCGCGCUUCGGCAAGGAUGCUGGCGUAAUGGUCAUCAGUGACCCGUCUUGAAACACGGACCAAGGAGUCGUCCAUUAGAGCGAGCGUUUGGGUGUAAAACCCGCACGCGUAAUGAAAGUGAACGCAGGUGAGAGCUUCGGCGCAUCAUCGACCGAUCCUGAUGUUCUCGGAAGGAUUUGAGUAAGAGUUUUAACGGACGGACCCGAAAGACAGUGAACUAUGCUUGUAUAGGGUGAAGCCAGAGGAAACUCUGGUGGAGGCUCGCAGCGGUUCUGACGUGCAAAUCGAUCGUCAAAUAUGAGCAUGGGG